AGAUUGAUCGCAAUAAGAAUUUGUAAGACGACAUAUAUGUGAAAACCUAUUAAAAGAUUGAUCAGAAGAAAAAGAGAAAAUAGUAUUCAUGUAUGUAAAUGGAGCUUAAACUUUUUCAUCCUCACUCUCGUUCUGGGUCUGAUUUUUCUUUAAGGAUCGACUAUAAAACUGGAAAUCGUUGUAGUCGUAAUUCUGCUCAUAAGGAUUGCCUUGGGGUCGUGGAUAGAGAUUCAGAUUCCCUCCAGGGAAAUGGUAAUUUCCAGGAUAUCUGUUAGCACCGGUGAAACUCCCUGGCGGUCUUCGAUUACCAUAAUAGUUUGGCGAUUGUACAAAGGUUGCUGGACCGUAUUUGUUAGGAGCGCUCUGAAAAUUUUGUCAAACAAUGACAAAUGAAGUAUAAAAACAAUGCGUCUUACGAUAAAUAAAAUUAAUAAUCUUUGAUGAAAAUUAUGAUAAAUUAUUAACAAUUAUUAAUAUACCGGAUAAGGAUAAUAUCCUUGACCAUAUUGUCCGGAAACCAAGAAUAGCAACUAUUUUGUUACGUACAAAUUUCAAUCCUACGGAGGGACAGUUGAAGCUAUAUCUGCAUCUGCAAGUGUCAUAUUCUCGAUAUCGAGGAUCGUCCUUGACCCAAGAUGGUACGAAACCAGUUUCCAAUGCGCCAUCGUCGAUAUUUCCGGUGUAGGAAGGUCUGAAUAGAUUAUUUUAUUCAAUAGUUAUUUUUUUUAACUUCUAACUGUCUUGUGACUUAGUAGAAUUUAGUUUUGAUCUUCUAAAUUUAAUCCAAGAUAAAAAAAGUUUUCAAAAAUAAAUUCUAUAUUUUAAUCUAAUUAUACAAAUAAUUGUAUCAUAGAUUUUUUCGAUUAUAUCAAAAAUAUAAAUUUAAUUUAUAUUUAAUAUAUAUACAUAUAAAAAUAUGCUAAAAUAUCGAUCAUCAAUUAUAAAAAAUUAAAUUCAAUUGAAUGUUCUUCAAUAUCCAAUACUUAUAAGAGAAUAAUUUUAAUUCAAACGUGAUCCAAGUCCAACCUAAAUCCAAUCCAAACCUUAGACCAUGGAACUUCGAUGUUUUGGCCUCUUUUCAUAAAAUGCAACGGUGUAUCAGGUCAUUGGGUCGUACAAAGCCAAUCAACAUUGAGGAUACGAGUAACGAAAACUUAUUGGGUUGGAAAACAGCGCGAAGAUACGAAAUACCUUUUUAUAAUGCCAGUCGGGCCACCAGGACCGACAAGAACUUCUUUGUUGCCAGGAUACGAUGCCGGUACAAUAGGUCUACUGUUAGGACCGUAAGGUCCCACGUUUUGUGGUUUAAAUCCUAUUAAUGGUCUCUCGUUACCGAAAUGUUCGAUAUUCUCAUUCACCUGGUAUCUAUAAUUGAACAAAUAGUUUAUAUUUCAAUUUUACUUUUUUUUUCCCAAUUUUUUUUGCAAUCGAUCUUAAAGUAUCUUAAGAUUAUUUAAAACAUCGUUAAAUGGAAAGCAUAGGAUAGUGUUUGUAUAAUAAUUCUCUUUCAAUCAUUUUUAUUUUUUAUUUUUUUUUCAUAUUCAAAUCUUCAAACUAUAUACAUACCAAACACAUAUAUUCAUACAUACAUCAAAUAUUAUCUCCAAAUUUCUCUAUAUUUUAACUAUAAAAUUAAUAUAUUGUAAAAUUUUAUCUGAAUUGUUAUUAUAAUCUUUUAGUCUGAGAAUAGCUACAGCAAGAGUUUAUAAGCUGCGAAAAGACAAAAGAAUGACAAAAUAUGACAGUACAAGGAAAGGAACAGAGAUUAGAUACCUAUUUCCAUUGGACAUCUGAAAAUUCUAUCGAAUAAUAAACUCUUUGGCGAGUUUUCUUUUUUUAUUAUUUAUCUUAGAGUAAAAAUUUCAAAAAUUGUUCUUAAAAAAAACUAUGAAGAUUGAACAAACCUCGUCUUCCCGAGCCUGCUCUCUCCAUUUUUCCACGCCCAUCCAUCGUCUUCGACAGCUAUUACGACCAUUGUGAUGCAACAAAAGAGGAACAGAAUGGCCAUCGUUUUACGGGAAACGCGAUUUCGUAAAAAAGACAAGAUAGUCAGCUUCACCGGCGAAUAUUGUCGACAGUCGACUAAAA
Molecule: long non-coding RNA, 2088 nt
Organism: Apis dorsata (giant honeybee)
Lineage: Eukaryota; Metazoa; Arthropoda; Insecta; Hymenoptera; Apidae
Exons: 4
Source: RefSeq, a predicted model, not a curated record